CACACUCUGUGUAAUAUGGCUUAACAUGCCAUAUUGUCUUGGCAGUUAUUCAUCAUUUUGUUUCUGAACUUUGAUGAAACAACAGAGAGAAAGAAAAGGUGGACAAUUUUGUUUCAAAUGAAAGGAAAUGUAAAUCUUGCUCCAGGAUGUAUGUAGCCAAGCCUGUCCUCUGUUGGAUCAUAAUUCUGUGCUUUAGGCAGGAAACUCAAGCCAAACCUACGAUCUCUAUGCUGAACCGAACCAGGGUGGCACUAGCAGGAGAAACUCUUCAUUUCAAACUGUUAGUGUGUAUCCCAGCAAACUACACCACUAACAAACUUAGAUUGUACCAUAAUCAGAGCAGAAGGAUAAUUUGGAGUAGAGAACUUAAAAGUGUAUUUUUUGAAACUACACAGUUGGAGAUGGCACGUAUCAAAAUGCGCAAUAGUUCCAGUUCUGGCAAUUACUACUUUUAUUAUACAGAUCAGAAGGUGCAUUGGGUGGUUCAAGUGAGAGAUAAGGGUUAUCAGCAGCAACUUGAGUUAGACAGUGCCAUCUUCACAAUGAUGGCAUUUUCAGGAACUCUGCUCAUCUUCAGUGUUGCUGGGUCACUUUACAUAGUAAAAAGCUACAAGAUAGUACAGGCAACAUUAUGAGAUUUUGUUGUGUCCAUGUUUCGACGCGUCGGAGCUGCUUUGACAACACAAGGGGGACCGACAUGAUAUAAGGCAGGUGUUUUUAAUGUUAUGGCUGAUCAGUAUUUAUGGACUCAUAACUAAACGGUAAAUGCCAGUUCAGAAAAGAUGACAUAUGUGCUAUUAUGCAAGAUGUAUAAAUAAAAUAAAAAUACAUUUUUAGGAACACCAUACUUGUAGAGAUGACAAAAAUGUCGCAGACCAGAGGCCAGGGUGGAGUGAUGAAGUGAUACUGGAUGAAGAUGCUGAAUCUACACAACUCUACACCGCGCUACAAUACAAAUCAAGCUCCAUUUAUGAUACAGUGCAUCUAGACGUGAUGCAUGAAGAAUACACAAAGAAAACAUCUGAUGAAAAUGUUUGUUUUAUAAAUGGUGUAAUAUUAUGGCAUGUAUACCUACAUUAAAACAAAAUUGUCAUAAAAAUUUAAUGUAUAGCUUUAAGGUAUUGAAUGUAUAAACAGAGUUCAUAACUCAAGCAUGUGUUUACUGAUAUGGAAGCAUAUGGGUAGCAUUAUUCAA
RNA transcript from Carassius auratus (goldfish), 1195 nucleotides. It is a transcript of the gene named NFAT activating protein with ITAM motif 1, with no coding region annotated. NCBI's taxonomy places the organism in Eukaryota, Metazoa, Chordata, Actinopteri, Cypriniformes, Cyprinidae. The record is from RefSeq and is a predicted model, not a curated record. The transcript is spliced from 5 exons.